GAUGAAGAACGUAGCGAAAUGCGAUACGUAAUGUGAAUUGCAAAUUCAGUGGAUCAUCGAGUCUUUGAACGCACAUUGCGCCCCCUGGUAUUCCGGGGGGCAUGCCUGUCCGAGCGUCAUUGCUGCCCUCAAGCACGGCUUGUGUGUUGGGCCCCGUCCUCCGAUCCCGGGGGACGGGCCCGAAAGGCAGCGGCGGCACCGCGUCCGGUCCUCGAGCGUAUGGGGCUUUGUCACCCGCUCUGUAGGCCCGGCCGGCGCUUGCCGAUCAACCCAAAUUUUUAUCCAGGUUGACCUCGGAUCAGGUAGGGAUACCCGCUGAACUUAAGCAUAUCAAUAAGCGGAGGA
RNAcentral lists this unclassified non-coding RNA (345 nucleotides) under soil metagenome. Its description in RNAcentral is "partial contains 5.8S ribosomal RNA, internal transcribed spacer 2, and large subunit ribosomal RNA". The stretch from base 1 to 119 matches the Rfam family "5.8S ribosomal RNA", at positions 35 to 154 of the family's 154-position model. The record is from RNAcentral.